CUCCCAUCUUUUCCCUUUUAUAAACCCUAACCCCCGCUCUUUCUUCAAAACUUUCCUGCUGUUUCCCCCUCCUAACAAACUAGUUUUCAAGUUCCUCCUCUCUCUCUGUGUUUUUAGUUCUCGUUUUUUUUUUCUCUAUGGAUGUUUAAUUGAGAUUGCUUGUCUUAGCUAUGAUGAUAAAUGCUUAUAAUCCCAGCUCAUUAUGAGGCCUUUUUGUAAGGUCCGGGAAUUUACACUUUCUCACAUUUAUCUGAGCCUUUACAUUGUCUUUUACCUAAAUUUCGCAUCUGGGUUUAUGGUCUUACUUGUGUUUAUUCUUAAUUUCUGUGAAUUAAUGUUCCCCGUCAUACUUAAUGCGGUGGUAUCACUGAUCGUACACCGACUGAAAACAGCACCAUCAAUUUACUGAGGUGACAUGUUGUCUCUAUGUCAUAACAUGUGUGCUUGGAUUUAGUAUCUUUGGUGUUUUUAACCUUCUGGGGUUGCUUUAAAUCCUUGAAAGGCCAUACUGGUUUAACUUAGCUUUCUUCUUGUUGAAAGUUUAUGUUUUUGCUGUGUCAUAAAUUUUAGAUUUUGCUUUAAAUCUUGUCUUUCGUUUAUUUUAACAAUAGAUUUUUGUAAUGACUUAAUGUCUUCGUGUGCUAGUCCAUGCCCUGUUUGCUGUCAGAUGGCUUUUAGUAGAUUAAGGUUUGCUUAUGGUAAUUGAAACUUGAGUUGAAUUGAUGGAUGUUCCCAGUGAUGCUUAAAUAUGAACCAUGCUAAUGCUGAUCAUUGGAUGACUGAAACUCUUUCUCAAUCUUGCUGAGGGAACAAUUGCUCUAAUUUUUUGUUUACAUUCUAUUUCUUUAGUUCAUCCUGGCUUUUGCAUAGUGAACUGUUAAUUAACUUGAUGAAACAAUCAAGUUCCCAAUUUUAUUUUCAUGAAAAACUGCCUCCAAAGUGCGUGGUAAACUAAACAUUCUGGUUUAGUUGUCCAAGUCCAUCUACGAGCAUGGCUCUAGAGAUAUCCUAUCAUCCUUUGGGCUAAGUUUUCUUUUCAGAAAGCCAAUAUCUUCAGAUAGGCCUAGCAAGCAUUUAGUCCUCACAACUGGCUCUGAUGGGUGCUUGGGGUCAAGGUUCUAACUUCAAAGGGUUUGCUUAAGUAAUGAUGUCUUACUAAUCCAACUACCAAUUUUCCUUUAAAUAAAAAAAAUUAAUAAAUAUUUUUUUCUUGGAGUGGAUUCGGUUGGGUCUGGACUUGGUUACAGAUGCCUCAAGAUCGUGAAUGUUUUGAAUAUUGAAUACCGAAAGGGCCAAAACAGCUAUAGCAUCAUGGAGAUGUUUGAAGUUUCUUGUACAGAGAAAAUAGUAGGAAUCGAGACCCCAAAAGAACCUCCAGGACAUUGGCUAGCAGCAUGGUGUUUUUCAAUAGGAGAGGAAUCGGUAACGUCGACGUCGGACUUGAGUUUUUGUUUGAGAAACCGAACAUCUUUUGUUCAUCAAAUACUCGGAACAUAUCAUUCUCAUCUUCAAGACAUGGGAAAUCAUGCAUCAUUAACUUGAAAAUUAGUUCAAUGAGCAAAGAACAUAAAAGCGAGAAAAGUAACGAGGAAGGCGAAGAUGAGAAAGGGUUUGUGACACUUGUUCGUUUAAUAGAAGAUAAAUCCAACAACUCUUCUAUAUUGGAAGAUAUUGCCUAAAGAAGAUGCAGUUUGUGCUCCUUUUGUGCAUUUCAGUUCCUAUAACUGUUAUCAGAAAUGAGAAAGGAAGAUGGUGGGAGCUUGCUAAUUAGGAGAAGACUGAAAGAAGCAAAACUUGGAGCUAGAGAUUGGUUAUGUGAUCCUUCAUCCUUCAUUUUCAUUUUGCAUUUUUUCACCUUACCUUCAACCUUUGUAUUGGAAUGCCAUAAGUUUUUUCACCUUGUGAAAUCACGACUAUCUGAUCAUAAAGUUUAGCAACUAUAUUUGUAAGAAAAUAAUAUAAAAUAAAAAAAAUACACGAGAUCACCAAAUUAGUGGGGUUUAUUACUUAAUUCA
Molecule: long non-coding RNA, 2015 nt
Organism: Populus nigra (black poplar)
Lineage: Eukaryota; Viridiplantae; Streptophyta; Magnoliopsida; Malpighiales; Salicaceae
Exons: 2
Source: RefSeq, a predicted model, not a curated record